This 2902-nucleotide ribosomal RNA is filed under the name Shigella flexneri 4343-70. RNAcentral's name for it is "bacterial LSU rRNA". It matches the Rfam family "Bacterial large subunit ribosomal RNA". The record is from RNAcentral. Lineage: Bacteria; Pseudomonadati; Pseudomonadota; Gammaproteobacteria; Enterobacterales; Enterobacteriaceae.
UUAAGCGACUAAGCGUACACGGUGGAUGCCCUGGCAGUCAGAGGCGAUGAAGGACGUGCUAAUCUGCGAUAAGCGUCGGUAAGGUGAUAUGAACCGUUAUAACCGGCGAUUUCCGAAUGGGGAAACCCAGUGUGAUUCGUCACACUAUCAUUAACUGAAUCCAUAGGUUAAUGAGGCGAACCGGGGGAACUGAAACAUCUAAGUACCCCGAGGAAAAGAAAUCAACCGAGAUUCCCCCAGUAGCGGCGAGCGAACGGGGAGCAGCCCAGAGCCUGAAUCAGUGUGUGUGUUAGUGGAAGCGUCUGGAAAGGCGUGCGAUACAGGGUGACAGCCCCGUACACAAAAAUACACAUACUGUGAGCUCGAUGAGUAGGGCGGGACACGUGGUAUCCUGUCUGAAUAUGGGGGGACCAUCCUCCAAGGCUAAAUACUCCUGACUGACCGAUAGUGAACCAGUACCGUGAGGGAAAGGCGAAAAGAACCCCGGCGAGGGGAGUGAAAAAGAACCUGAAACCGUGUACGUACAAGCAGUGGGAGCACGCUUAGGCGUGUGACUGCGUACCUUUUGUAUAAUGGGUCAGCGACUUAUAUUCUGUAGCAAGGUUAACCGAAUAGGGGAGCCGAAGGGAAACCGAGUCUUAACUGGGCGUUAAGUUGCAGGGUAUAGACCCGAAACCCGGUGAUCUAGCCAUGGGCAGGUUGAAGGUUGGGUAACACUAACUGGAGGACCGAACCGACUAAUGUUGAAAAAUUAGCGGAUGACUUGUGGCUGGGGGUGAAAGGCCAAUCAAACCGGGAGAUAGCUGGUUCUCCCCGAAAGCUAUUUAGGUAGCGCCUCGUGAAUUCAUCUCCGGGGGUAGAGCACUGUUUCGGCAAGGGGGUCAUCCCGACUUACCAACCCGAUGCAAACUGCGAAUACCGGAGAAUGUUAUUACGGGAGACACACGGCGGGUGCUAACGUCCGUCGUGAAGAGGGAAACAACCCAGACCGCCAGCUAAGGUCCCAAAGUCAUGGUUAAGUGGGAAACGAUGUGGGAAGGCCCAGACAGCCAGGAUGUUGGCUUAGAAGCAGCCAUCAUUUAAAGAAAGCGUAAUAGCUCACUGGUCGAGUCGGCCUGCGCGGAAGAUGUAACGGGGCUAAACCAUGCACCGAAGCUGCGGCAGCGACGCUUAUGCGUUGUUGGGUAGGGGAGCGUUCUGUAAGCCUGUGAAGGUGUGCUGUGAGGUAUGCUGGAGGUAUCAGAAGUGCGAAUGCUGACAUAAGUAACGAUAAAGCGGGUGAAAAGCCCGCUCGCCGGAAGACCAAGGGUUCCUGUCCAACGUUAAUCGGGGCAGGGUGAGUCGACCCCUAAGGCGAGGCCGAAAGGCGUAGUCGAUGGGAAACAGGUUAAUAUUCCUGUACUUGGUGUUACUGCGAAGGGGGGACGGAGAAGGCUAUGUUGGCCGGGCGACGGUUGUCCCGGUUUAAGCGUGUAGGCUGGUUUUCCAGGCAAAUCCGGAAAAUCAAGGCCGAGGCGUGAUGACGAGGCACUACGGUGCUGAAGCAACAAAUGCCCUGCUUCCAGGAAAAGCCUCUAAGCAUCAGGUAACAUCAAAUCGUACCCCAAACCGACACAGGUGGUCAGGUAGAGAAUACCAAGGCGCUUGAGAGAACUCGGGUGAAGGAACUAGGCAAAAUGGUGCCGUAACUUCGGGAGAAGGCACGCUGAUACGUAGGUGAAGCGACUUGCUCGUGGAGCUGAAAUCAGUCGAAGAUACCAGCUGGCUGCAACUGUUUAUUAAAAACACAGCACUGUGCAAACACGAAAGUGGACGUAUACGGUGUGACGCCUGCCCGGUGCCGGAAGGUUAAUUGAUGGGGUUAGCGCAAGCGAAGCUCUUGAUCGAAGCCCCGGUAAACGGCGGCCGUAACUAUAACGGUCCUAAGGUAGCGAAAUUCCUUGUCGGGUAAGUUCCGACCUGCACGAAUGGCGUAAUGAUGGCCAGGCUGUCUCCACCCGAGACUCAGUGAAAUUGAACUCGCUGUGAAGAUGCAGUGUACCCGCGGCAAGACGGAAAGACCCCGUGAACCUUUACUAUAGCUUGACACUGAACAUUGAGCCUUGAUGUGUAGGAUAGGUGGGAGGCUUUGAAGUGUGGACGCCAGUCUGCAUGGAGCCGACCUUGAAAUACCACCCUUUAAUGUUUGAUGUUCUAACGUGGACCCGUGAUCCGGGUUGCGGACAGUGUCUGGUGGGUAGUUUGACUGGGGCGGUCUCCUCCUAAAGAGUAACGGAGGAGCACGAAGGUUGGCUAAUCCUGGUCGGACAUCAGGAGGUUAGUGCAAUGGCAUAAGCCAGCUUGACUGCGAGCGUGACGGCGCGAGCAGGUGCGAAAGCAGGUCAUAGUGAUCCGGUGGUUCUGAAUGGAAGGGCCAUCGCUCAACGGAUAAAAGGUACUCCGGGGAUAACAGGCUGAUACCGCCCAAGAGUUCAUAUCGACGGCGGUGUUUGGCACCUCGAUGUCGGCUCAUCACAUCCUGGGGCUGAAGUAGGUCCCAAGGGUAUGGCUGUUCGCCAUUUAAAGUGGUACGCGAGCUGGGUUUAGAACGUCGUGAGACAGUUCGGUCCCUAUCUGCCGUGGGCGCUGGAGAACUGAGGGGGGCUGCUCCUAGUACGAGAGGACCGGAGUGGACGCAUCACUGGUGUUCGGGUUGUCAUGCCAAUGGCACUGCCCGGUAGCUAAAUGCGGAAGAGAUAAGUGCUGAAAGCAUCUAAGCACGAAACUUGCCCCGAGAUGAGUUCUCCCUGACCCUUUAAGGGUCCUGAAGGAACGUUGAAGACGACGACGUUGAUAGGCCGGGUGUGUAAGCGCAGCGAUGCGUUGAGCUAACCGGUACUAAUGAACCGUGAGGCUUAACCUU